CAAGCUCGCGUUCAGGCUCAAGCUCGAGUUCUGGCUCGAGCACCAGCUCGGGAUCCAGGUCGGGAUGCGGCUCUGACAAAAGUUCAAGAAAGAGGAAAUCUGAUGAUGAAGCAAUCAAUGGUAUAGGUGGUAAAAGGAUGACAAUCACAUCAUCUCAAGAGAGC
Long non-coding RNA from Nasonia vitripennis (jewel wasp), 164 nucleotides. RefSeq lists it as uncharacterized. NCBI's taxonomy places the organism in Eukaryota, Metazoa, Arthropoda, Insecta, Hymenoptera, Pteromalidae. The transcript is spliced from 2 exons. The record is from RefSeq and is a predicted model, not a curated record.